UACGUAGGGGGCAAGCGUUGUCCGGAAUUAUUGGGCGUAAAGCGCGUGUAGGCGGCUAUCCAAGUCAGUGGUGAAAGCCCGGAGCUCAACUCCGGAACUGCCAUUGAAACUGUUUAGCUUGAGGAUGAGAGAGGUGAGUGGAAUUCCCAGUGUAGAGGUGAAAUUCGUAGAUAUUGGGAAGAACACCGGUGGCGAAGGCGGCUCACUGGCUCAUUACUGACGCUCAGGCGCGAUAGCGUGGGGAUCAAACAGG
Molecule: ribosomal RNA, 253 nt
Filed under: uncultured bacterium
Lineage: Bacteria
Description: partial 16S ribosomal RNA
Rfam family: Bacterial small subunit ribosomal RNA
Source: RNAcentral